GGGACCAACUCAUGCAUACAAUGCUCAAUCUCCAUUGUUCUACCCUUUUCCCAAACAUACAAUUACACAAUCAUUCCCAAAUGUCAAACCCAACUCACAUCUCUCACCAAAAGAUCCUAAGAACUUUAACUCCUUCUCUUUGAAAUCUACAAGGGAUUUUUCACAACCUCAAAACAUUACUUAGCUCCUAACAACUUUGCUAGCCCCCUUUUUCUUUCUUUUUCUUUUCUUUUCAUAUUUUAUUUCUUUUUUUUUUUUUUUUUUUUUUUAGAUGGGGGCCAAGACUUUUCAUAACUUGAGCUAGAGGUUUUUCUACUUAUCCCAAUAAGACAAUUCACUUAAACACAAAGAGUCAUUUCUUUUCCUUUUUCAUUGCUCCCAAAUCAUAAUCACAACUCUCACCCCCCACCUAUAGCUAGACAAUAGAGUGCCCAAUCUAGCAAGAAUGAAGAUCAAGCAUUGUCGUUCCCGAUACUCUCAACAUUAUGCACAUGUAAGACUUUCCGAAGAAGGCCUCACUCAUCAAACAAUGAAAGCUUAAAAGGAGGGAAAGGUUUUGGGAGUGGUCUACCACUAGAGUUUGUCAAAAUAAGAUUGGCAUAAAGGAUGUGACAACUCAAGUGUGUAUAGCCAUGACUCAGUACACAAGGGACCAUGAGCAAGAAGCAUUAAGUUCGUUCAGUUCAAAUAAGGUUGUAGUUGGCUUCAAAGACUGAGUUUCAGCAAUCAACAAGUUUCAGGAAGAGUCUUCAAGGCUCGAAGCAUACAAGUGUUUUUGAGAGGUGCAUAAGCUAUUCAGGUGCAAAGUAAUGUUCUUUACAAGGCAUUUCAAAUCAUUGCUCCCAAUGCAAGUAAAUGCAACCUAUAUGCUCUAGACUCUCCUAGAAAUGCCAAUGAUGCAAACUAAAUGAAUUUUUUUUUUUAUGCAAAUAUAUAUGUAUAAUGCAAUGCAUGAGACUCAAAAUCAUCAAAGCAAACGUGAUCAAAUACUUGGUACCUCCCCCAAACUUAAAUGACACAGUCUCUGUGUUGUCAAGGAGAGAGAGAUACCCAAAAAGAGAAAACUAAUAUGCAAAAACGAAAUGGUAUAUACAAGGGAAAGUAGUGGGUUACCUUCUAUGGAGAAUGAGUAGAGGGAGAUGCUCCCUCCUCGUCGUCCUCAGGUGGUAACUCUUCAAGGUGCUCAUCAGUAAGAGUGCCCAUCUCUUCAAUGUAGAAGGCUUGCCCGAACACAGUUGGUUUCUUCAUUUUCUCCUUGAUGUCAAAGUGGAGAACAUGCCCUUUACCCAAAUGGAGAUCAAUCGUGCCCUCUUUCACCUUAACAAUUGCUCCUGCUGUAGCUAAGAAUGGCCUUCCAAGAAUCAAUGGGUCUUGAGCCUCCUCACCCAUCUCAAGCACCACAAAAUCUGUAGGUAUCUCAUACCUUCCAAUCUUCACAGGUAGGUCCUCUAAGAUGCCCACAGGGUACUUCACUGAACGAUCAGCUAACACCAGAGAGAGUUUACACUUCUUGUACUGAGUGAAUCCAAGCUUCUUUGCAACAGACAAAGGCAUCACGCUGACACUAGCUCCCAAAUCGCAGAGACAUUUCUCAAAUACCAUAGGUCCAAGAGCACAAGGUAGUGUGAAGCAUCCUGGAUCCUCUAACUUCUCUGGAACAUCAAGCCUUUGGAUGAUGGCACUGCACUCAUGGGUAAGAAUCAUCAUGCUUUCCAUUUCCUUCUUCUUUGCAGCUACAACAUCUUUCAGGAACUUGUUGUAUUGAGGAAUCAACAUGAAAGCAUCGAUGAUGGGCAUUGCAACCUGAGCUUCACUCAUUUGCUUGUCAAACAAAGCCUUGUACUUCUCUAGCAGCUGCCUCUUGAAUCUACCAGGGAAUGGUAGUUUGGGUUCAUAGGGAGGAGGAACAAAAGAAUUCUCACUUGCUGGAGCAAGAACUUCACCAUCUUUCACUGUUUUCUUCUCUUCCCCAACCUUUCCUUUACCCUUGGCUUCCACAAUCUUCUCCAAGAUUUCAUCAUUGAUUUUCUCAUCAACAAUCACCACUUCAUCAUCUAAGUUGAUGGCCACCUCCUCACCUAGUUUCUCAGCAUCCCUGGUGAGGGUUGUAGGAGGUAACUGCUUACCACUCCUAAGGGUGAUAGCUUUGGCCUCCUUGGGGUUUUGGUCAGAUUUUCCAGGUAGAGAUCCUUGCUGGCGAGUCUGGUGAGUGUUCAUGGAAGCAAACUGAUUCUCUAAAUUCUUGACUGUAGAAGCAAGAUGUGAGAACUUGUUGUUGAGCUCAUUGUAGCUCCCAUCAAUCUUGGAAUGAAGGUUCUUCAACUCAUAACCAACAUGCUUCUCACUUCUAGUCUGAGACUCCAAGAUUUGUUUCAGUAAGGUAUCAGUGCGGCUCUCUUGAGGAGUAGAGGAACCAGACGAGGGGUUUUGCUGAGGCUGAUAGCUGCCUUGCUGAUUGUUCCGAGGCUGAUAACCACUCUGCUGGUUGUUGGAAUAGGACUUCUGUUGGUAGUUGUUGUACUGAAAGUUGGGCUCCUUUUUGUACCAGCUACCAUUGUUGUUAAUGAAACACAACUCCUCUUGACCUUCCAAACCCUCAACCUCAUGGACAACAGGUGGUGUAUCUUGGCUUGGGUUACCAACAAAGUGCAGCUGCUCUUGUGUGGCUUUAUCAGCAAGGAGGAUGUCUAUCUUAUCCUGUAGAGCUUUCAACUCCUUCCUCGUCUGCUUAUCAUCUGUUCGACUGCUUCUGUCGUGGUCUCCACUGUAGACUGCAUCACUCUUUACCAUGUUGUCAACCAGCUCCUCUGCAUCUUCCUCAGUUCUCCCCAAGAAGAACCCAUUGCUAGCUGUAUCCAGUCUGGCCCUGUACUUAGGAAGAGCACCACGGUAGAAUGUGCUCAGCAAGCUCUCCUUAGAGAAACCAUGGUGUGGGCAUUGAGCUUGGUAGCCCUUGAAUCUCUCCCAGGCUUCACUGAAUCCUUCCAAGUUCUUCUGUUGGAAACUGGAGAUCUCAUUUCUCAGCUUAGCAGUUCUUGAGGAUGAGAAGAAUUUCUCCAAGAAUGCUCUCUUGCACUCAUCCCAAGUGGUGAUAGAGUCGCUGGGUAGAGACUUCUCCCACUGACGUGCCUUAUCCCCCAAAGAGAAAGGGAAUAGCUUGAGCUUUAAGGCAUCUUCGGACACACCAUUGGUUUUUGACAACCCACAGUAGCUGUCGAACCUAUCCAAGUGAUCAAAUGGGUCCUCCAGAGCCAAGCCAUGAUACUUGUUGUUCUCGAUCACGUUGAGGAGUCCUGACUUGACCUCAAAGUUGUUGGCUGCCACAGCUGGUGCUCGGAUUCCGAAUCUGUGACCAUGUAUGUUGGGGCGGUCGUAAGUGCCAAUGGGUCGAGCUGCCCGCGGUUGGUGUUCUGCCCCUUGCGGUGGAUCUGCCAUAUCAAUAUCCAAGUGGGCUUGGUGUUCUUCUUCUCUUCUAGCUCUAGCACACUCCCUCUCAAAAGCUCUGAUGUCUGCUACUAUUGGAACUAGGUUUGAUGGACCCCUGCUCCUCAAGUUCAUACACCUGAAAGUGAAAGGUAGGUGAAGAAGAAGAAUCAGUAACAAAACAAAAUUAAAAUGACUUAGUCUCAAGCAAGUGACUAAAUCUCAAUGUUUAAAUCUACUCAGAAUUUGGCAACGGCGCCAAUUUGAUGUUAGGAGUUUUCAAGGCUCCUAAGACAAAUGUUGUAGUAUAGUGAUUGUCGAACCAGUUCUGAGGGAUAUCAAAGCACUGAGAAUGCAAGUACUCACUUAAUCUAAGUGCAACCAAUGAUUUAGAUGGGUUUUAAGCUAUGACUAAAACUAGAAAGCAAUAACAGAAUGAUACUUUCUUGACUAAGGGAAAAGAGAACUCAUGGGCAUAGGGAUUAGACCUUGGGUGAUCAAGUAUCGAACUAAGGAUGGCAAAUGAUCAAUCAAACUAUCAACCUUAAGCCUAGACACAAUUCUAAGCAAGCUCUAUGUCUAGAUGAAUGCUCAUUUGCUAACAUAUCUCAAACAUCAAAUGUCUUUGGUUGAAUAAUAUGAAAGCAAUCAUUACUAACAAGUCUAUUAGCUAUCUUAGCAUCUUUAACAACAAAUGUCUUUGGCAAAGUAUACUAAAAGCCUAGGAGAGUUGUCUCAGGCAUUUCAUCAAACACCUUUUGGGUGGGAAAUGCCUAUUGAUCAACUUUUGAGUGGCCAACUCAGAAGAUGCAUUAUGAAUACUCUACUAGCAAGGAACAAGAAUGAUCUACACUAAAACAUCCUAGAACUAACCUAAUCACCCUUGAUCUCCCUAACCCAUGAAUUCAAAAGGUGAUUACUCACUAAUCUCCAUGAUUCCUCUUAAACCCAUGGUGGAUUUCAGAUUAAUCAUGUAGAGAAAUAGAUAAGAAAUUAACAAGAACACAAGAUGAGAGCAAUCAAAUCUGAAUCAAAACAAGUUUUUACUAAUCGUUCUCCAGAAAAAAGAUCUGGUCUCUAAUGGCUUACAAAAGUACUUAACUUAGGUUUUUGGCAAUGUAAAACGUGCAUAAUGAAAUGACCAAAAGGCCCUUAGAAAAACAUGAGUUCGACAGGCAAAUAGACGCGGAGCGACCUCGGCAUGUCGCUCCGACAAGUCGCUCCGGCCUUCGGGAGCGACCUCAGUGGGUCGCUCUGAGAGGUCGCUCCGGGCUUCGUUUUGUGUCGUCUCGCAAUGGAAACGCGAGCGACCUCGGAGCGUCGCUCUGGCAAGUCGCUCUGGGAGGGGUGUCUCGCGAUAGAAACGCGAGCGACCUCUCUACGUCGCUCUGGCCAGGUCGCUCCGAGAUGUGUGUCACAGCGACUUCAUGUAGUCGCUCCGGGAAGUCGCUCCAGGCAGUGCUCGUCCAAAGAUCACUCUAAUCACCUCCCUUGAGCUCCAAAUGCACCCAAAUGUCUCCAGGAACUCCAUGUGGUACUCCAAUACCUAAUAGAGACAUAUGUAUGCAAAAUGCAACCUAGACAUGGCUAAAUCCUAAUCUAUAUGAUGAAAAUGCACAUGAAUAAAUGGAUAAAACAAUGUAAAUAUGCAAGAUAUCAACUCCCCCAAACUUAUUCUUUUACUUGUCCUCAAGUGAACUUUCUAGAACUCAUAGGGAGAGAGGUUUGAAGGUGGGAGCUCAUAGCCAAAAGAAACACACAAAGCACUCAAAUCAACAUUUAAAUUCAGCAUUAGUACACCCUCUCUUAUUAUACUCUAGCUUCUCUAGGCCUAUCUGAACUCUUUUCAUCCCUACACUCAUCAUCAUGCAUUCACACAUGCAAAUCAGCCAACUCUCAAGUUCAUUAAGCAUAGCAUCAAGUGAAUUCUUGCAAAUGGUCAAUUGGUCCAAAUCAUUUGGUUGAGUAAGGGAAGGCUUUUAUUCAAAUGAUUCAAGAGGUUCAAAACAUAUGAUCUUUAAGGUGGUUUACUCUCGAAACAAGUAGCCUUGACAUUGCACAUAAUAUAUCUAAGAAAGGGAUCAACUCAUGCAUACAAUGCUCAAUCUCCAUUGUUCUACCCUUUUCCCAAACAUACAAUUACACAAUCAUUCCCAAAUGUCAAACCCAACUCACAUCUCUCACCAAAAGAUCCUAAGAACUUUAACUCCUUCUCUUUGAAAUCUACAAGGGAUUUUCCACAACCUCAAAACAUUACUUAGCUCCUAACAACUUUGCUAGCCCC
Molecule: long non-coding RNA, 5707 nt
Filed under: Brassica napus (rape)
Lineage: Eukaryota; Viridiplantae; Streptophyta; Magnoliopsida; Brassicales; Brassicaceae
Description: long non-coding RNA (BNAP_LNC024777)
Rfam family: Plant small nucleolar RNA R71 (bases 2921-3027)
Source: RNAcentral